This 507-nucleotide ribosomal RNA is filed under the name Triticum aestivum (bread wheat). RNAcentral describes it as "partial small subunit ribosomal RNA". Lineage: Eukaryota; Viridiplantae; Streptophyta; Magnoliopsida; Poales; Poaceae. The record is from RNAcentral.
AUGGCCGGCUGGCGGCGCGCGAGAUCGGAGGACGGCCGCCGUGGAGUCAUGAUGUCUCACCAUGUGGCAAUUGUUGUUCUGAUUGUUGUGUCCUAUAUUUGCAGAUUAUCUCGUCCUGGCUCGGUCAUUUUACCCCUCCAUGAUGCAAGUGAUAUAUUCCUAGAGAUCGGAAAGAUGGCCAAGUACAGUAGCUGUGAGUGGCUAGCUGUUGUAGCAUUUCUACUUUUUGUGGCUCCGUGGAUCCUUCUUUGGCUAAUAGUGUUUCCUUUCUGGAUUCUAAGAAGCACAAGUUAUGAAAUAGCUAUGAUCCUGGACAAGGAGAACAAAAAAAUCUACAGAACCUCAUACUACUAUCUUUUCAACACUCUCUUGUUUUCACUUCUAGUCUUUCACAUAUAUUGGUGGGUACUGAUUUACCGGAUGCUUGUCAAACAAAUUCAGUCUAGAGGUCAUGUUGGUGAGGAUGUUCGAUCCGAUUCUGAAGGCGAAAACAACCAUGAAGAUUAA